CACUAUGCCUAGCCCUAAACAUUGAUGAUAACUUACAAUUAUUAUCCGCCUGGGAACUACGAGCACCAGCUUAAAACCCAAAGGACUUGGCGGUGCUUUAGACCCACCUAGAGGAGCCUGUUCUAGAACCGAUAACCCCCGUUCAACCUCACCCUUCCUUGUUCCUCCCGCCUAUAUACCACCGUCGUCAGCUUACCCUGUGAAGGGCUAAUAGUAAGCAAAACUGGCAAAGCCCAAAACGUCAGGUCGAGGUGUAGCGCAUGGAAGGGGAAGAAAUGGGCUACAUUCACUAACCCAGUGCACACGAAUGACACCCUGAAACACGUGUCUGAAGGAGGAUUUAGCAGUAAGUAGAAAAUAGAGUGUUCUGCUGAAACUGGCCCUGAAGCGCGCACACACCGCCCGUCACUCUCCCCGAGCUAAGACUCUCAAGUAAAUAAACAACUAUAACUGCAAAGGGGAGGCAAGUCGUAA
RNAcentral lists this ribosomal RNA (474 nucleotides) under Acanthurus nigricans (whitecheek surgeonfish). RNAcentral describes it as "partial small subunit ribosomal RNA". It matches the Rfam family "Bacterial small subunit ribosomal RNA", at positions 788 to 1491 of the family's 1533-position model. The record is from RNAcentral. Lineage: Eukaryota; Metazoa; Chordata; Actinopteri; Acanthuriformes; Acanthuridae.